Molecule: ribosomal RNA, 272 nt
Filed under: Escherichia coli
Lineage: Bacteria; Pseudomonadati; Pseudomonadota; Gammaproteobacteria; Enterobacterales; Enterobacteriaceae
Description: partial 16S ribosomal RNA
Rfam family: Bacterial small subunit ribosomal RNA
Source: RNAcentral
AAAUUGAAGAGUUUGAUCAUGGCUCAGAUUGAACGCUGGCGGCAGGCCUAACACAUGCAAGUCGAACGGUAACAGGAAGCAGCUUGCUGCUUCGCUGACGAGUGGCGGACGGGUGAGUAAUGUCUGGGAAACUGCCUGAUGGAGGGGGAUAACUACUGGAAACGGUAGCUAAUACCGCAUAAUGUCGCAAGACCAAAGAGGGGGAUCUUCGGGCCUCUUGCCAUCGGAUGUGCCCAGAUGGGAUUAGCUUGUUGGUGGGGUAACGGCUCACC